Musa acuminata AAA Group (dessert banana) is the source of this 4933-nucleotide long non-coding RNA. RefSeq lists it as uncharacterized. The record is from RefSeq and is a predicted model, not a curated record. NCBI's taxonomy places the organism in Eukaryota, Viridiplantae, Streptophyta, Magnoliopsida, Zingiberales, Musaceae. The transcript has 6 exons.
CAACGUGUAGUCAUUUCGCUAUAUAUACCGACUCCGGUGAGUAGAAAGCCAAGUAGGGUUCGGUCGCCGCCGCCGCCGCAGGAUUCUUAUCUCUGCCCUAUGAUUCCUCCGUCUCGAUCGAAUGAUCCAAGUUACUGACCCGUUCGAUCUCUCAGCCGACGAAGACAACGACGACGAACCUUCUCAUUUCAUAGCCGCUCAAUAGCAGAGGGACGCUGCCAAGAAGAUACCCGGUCCUACAGGCACUCCGCCGGCGACCAGGUUCUUUUCUCUCCGAAGCAUUGUCGCACCACCUUCUCGUGCUGGAGCGGUCUUGAAUAUUGAUUUUGAGAGCGGUGAUGCAAAGAAUGACGAGAAGGAAGAUGAGCAAUAACAACAAUCGCAAGGGGGCCUCAGCAAACGAGACCGAAGGAAAGGAACCACCUUAGGUCAAGGUACCACCCUAUUCUGUCCUCUUUGACUCUAUGGGUAUAUCAUAUAUACUUUAAGGUGUAAUUACUUGGUCUUUCUUAUAGAAGAAAGAGACAAUGGGCAAUUUGGUUGGAUGAUUCUUGAAGUUAAGUCACAAUGAAGUCUUUUUUUUUGUCCAUGAUGAUUGCGGUGGUUCGACAAUCUAAAUGACAUGGGAAGGAUCUUGCAGAACAAAUUAGAUACACGUUAUUUCACCAUCUUCAGAACAAGCUGAAGACUUAUUGCCUUUUUUUUUUUGAACUCUUUCAAUUGCAUCAUGUUACAUUAAAUUGGGCAAACAUUCUCUAUAUCAUUUUUGCCUUUGAGAGAACUAGGUGGCUUGCGAUAAAGCUCUUAAUGUACCACUUUGGUUCCGUUGCAGGCAUAUAUUAAAGUAUACUUACGGCCCUUUCUUUGAAAAUUUCUUUAAGCAACAAACGUUGCUUGCAAGAAGGGCCUUGGAAAUCUUAUGCUUUCAGAUUUUUUUCAUAUUUCUUUGUUGGGAAAUAGAAUUUGGGUGGACAAACCAAAAGUACAAUUUGUCUGCAAAUAUGAGGCCUUUUUAUGCAUUAAUAUAUCUAAUGUGCUCUUAUUUAUGCUUAUGGCCGAUCCAAAGGGUCUUGCAUGGUGUAAAACCAAGAGCAUAUGCAAGUGCUCCAUUUCACCCGGCCAAAAUGUAUGCUUGUGGCAGCAUCAAGGUUUUGGCAUGUCUUCCAGGUCAUGUAUGAUUCAGAAAGCUGCCAUACAUGUAAUAAACAUUUGGUCAUGAGGUAAUAUAUGGUUGUUGUGUGGUAGUUGGAAGCUUUUAAGAAUGACAAUGUUAUAUGAUUGUUGUGUGGUAGCUAGAAGUUUUUAAGAAUGACAAUUCUUGAACAAGUUCAAAGCACCUUAUUCCAGCACCAAACUUCUUACUCCUGAGGUGAUGGUCGUAAUCUAUUGCCUUUUUUUACAUUACAUCGAAAUGGGUAAAUCUUCUCUAUAUUCAAUUUUGCCUUUGAGAGAACUUGGUGGCUUGCUUUUAAGCUCUUAAUGUGCCACUUUGGUUCCGUUGCAGGCAUAUACUAAAGUAUUCUUACAGCCCUUUCUUUGAAAAUUUCUUUGAGCAACAUGUUGCUUGCAAUAAGGGCCUUGGAAAUCUAUUGCGUUCGGCUUUCUUGUCUAUUUCUUUGUCGGAGAAUAGGAUUCAGUGACUUGCGGCUAACGAAUUCCACUUAGUUAGUAAAACCAAAAAUGCAAUUAGUUUUCAUAUGUGAUGCCUUUUGGCACAUUAAGAUAUCCAGCUUUGCUCCUUUUAUGCCUGUGGCUGAUCCAAAGGGCCUUGCAUGGUGUAGAAGUAGAACUACGAGGAACAAGUUGAAAGCACCAUACUCCAGCACUUAACUUCUUGCUCCUGAGGGUGGAUGGGCAUUACCUAUUGCCUCUUUUAACUCUUUCAAGUGCAUCACAUUUCAUAAAAAUGGAUAAAUAUCUCUAUAUUCAUUUAUGCCUUUGAGAGAACUAGGUGGCUUGCUUUAAAGCUCGUAAUGUGCCAUUUCAGUUCCGUAGCAGGCAUAUACUAAAGUUUACUUACAGCCCUUUCUUUGAAAAUUUCUUUAAGCAACAAAAUGUUGUUUGCAUGAAGGGCCUUGGAAAUAUAUCAUACUCAGACUUCUUGCCUAUUUCUUUGUCGGAGAACAGGAUUCAGUGACUUACUGUUAAUUAAGUCCACGUAGUUAGUCAAACCAAAAGCACAGUAAGCCUUCAUAUGUGAUGUCUUUUGGGGAUUAAGAUAUCUAAAUUUGCUCUUUUUUAUGCCCAUGGCCGAUCCAAAGGGUCUUGCAUGGUGUAAAACCGAUAGCAUAUGCAAGUGCUCCAUUUCACCCGGUCAAAAUGUAUGCUUGUUGCAGCAUCAAGGUUUCGGCAUGUCUUCCUGGUCAUGUGUGAUUCAGAAAGCUGCCAUACAUGUAAUAAACAUUUGGUUAUGAGGUAAUAGAUAUGUGCUUUUUAUAUAGUAGCUAGAAGUUUCUAGCCAUGGUAUUCUUAUACUCUUUAAACCUGCUCAAGAGACAGUUGCGCAAUAGGUGUUCUGGCAAUUUUUUCUGGAGGGUGCUGUUUCUGUGGGUUCUUACUUGCAUGGACUCUUGUACAUAUCUGCUUCAGAUAUCCAAGUAUUGUUAUAUGAUUUGUGAUGAGAUACAUUGGAACUGUUGGCCAUGCUUCUGACAUGCAUUUGAUUAUGAAUUAUCUAUUUGUCCUUUUUAUUUAUGAUGAAACACUUCUACUCAGAUAUUUUGCUAGUAAGGUGGGCUCAGAUAUUCUCAAACAAGAGAAUUUAAUCAAAAUAUGUUGAAAUAUUGCUUAAUUGUUUGACACAGAGAGAAAGAGAGAUAAGUAGGUACCAUAGAAAUUUGUUGUUUUCAUGAAAAAUAAGUUCACAUUUCAGUUAAUUAGACUCUUGUAAACAAAGAAUAGCACUAAAAUUAAUAUUCCUAUAACUGGGCAAUUGAAUAAACACAUCAGAAGAAUUUCCCAAAUUUGUCUCUUAGUUGACUAUGUAUGCUACUGAUCUGUUAGCAAAUUAAACUUCAUGGAACCUCAACCUCUAACCAUUCUCUAUGGAGAAGGUUAAUCUGAAUGAAAGAACCACUGAGUCUAAACAGAAACCAGACUCAUGGAGCCAUUUAAGAUUCUAAUUGAUCACUUUCAUGCUCAAGAUUAUGGUUAUUUUUUUCCGCAUGUGGUCUAUAGUUGCAAUUGAAGGUUUGCCAGACAUUGAGGUGAGUGGCUUUCAGUUGAUCAUUUGCUCUACUAUAGAAGGACCUUACUGGUAUUUCCAUAUCAUAAAUGACUCAGUUUUAAUCCAAGCUUUCAGUUCGGAUAUAGAGUGGAAUCUACUUAUAUAUGCUGCUUCACUAGAGUGAGAUUAUUCCUUUAUCAAUUUAGAUAUCUAUAUGUAAAAAGGAAUAUAAGUGAAAAUCCACCACUGAGAGGAAGUAUGAUUAAACAAAAAGGAAUCACAAAAAACAUAAUGUAUCUUUUUUGCCUGUUGAAAUUCCUCUUCAGAUUCUUUUACAUGUUGGGUUUCUUUUUCUGUUUGGAAAAAAGGCCUGCCUUUUUGUUGUUUGAUGACAUGGAUGCAUCUGAUUGACUUGUUACACUGGUUGGUGUAAGAAAUGACUCCGGAAGAGCACAAGAAAUUAAAGGAGGGAAAACUAAAAGUGCUACUUGCCAUGAAUUCUGAAGUGAGGAAAGUCAAAUUUGACUAGGAUUUCGAGUCAAUGCAACUGCUGUCUAUCAGGAAAGUAAAUAAUGAUGUUUUAAUUAAAUUGUUUAGCUUGGUUACAUUGCCACUUUAGACUCCGUGUAUGUAGAUUCUUAGUUAUUUGUUUUAUAUUUGAUGAUGGUCUUAACAGGGUUCUGAAGAGGUUAUGGGAAGACAAGAAAGAUACUGGUGAUGCUCAGGGACUGGUCAAGAAGAAGAUGAAUUGUUAAUUGAGAAGUUAAAACUUCUCAAUAAGCCUGCAGUGAAGAGCAUUAAGAGUGAAGAUGGUGACAUAAUAGAUUGUGUUGAUAUUUACAUGAAGCCACCUUUGGAUCAUCCACUACCCAAAGGUCAUAUCAUUAAGAACAUAACUUUUCCUUGGAUCAUAAACAUCUGAUUAUGAUCCAAGGAAAAGCUGUGUUGAAGAUGAGACCCGAUGAUGAGCAUUCAGAAGAAAGAGAUGGGGCUUCUUCCAACCCAACAAAUGGCUUACUCACUCUAGUGUGGUAGAAGAGUCAACUUCCCCUGUGGAACCAUACCCAUCGUACGUGUCCAAAGCCAUCACUUGUUGAAUGCUCCUUCGAUCCAAAACUACGGUAGGAAGCCAUGGAUUGGAGUUAAGAGACAGGUGGUUCGUUUGAACAACAGUGGACCAUUAGGUUAUGGAGCUGAAAACUCACAUGCUGUCGUCCGUGUCCAAAGGCAUCACUUGUUGAACACUCCUUCCAUCCAAAACUAUGGAAGAAGUGUUUGCUGAGCUCAGUAUGGUGGUCUUCUUGCUACUGGCGACGACAUUCUCGGAGCCAAAGCUGUCAUCAACCUCUGGAAUCUGUCGGUGCAGCAAGAUUCCGAGUUCUCCAGUGCAAAAAUCUGGCUCAGGAACCGGCCGACCGACCGUUCCAAUAACAUCGAAGCUGGAUGGAUGGUAAACCCUAGUGUUUCUAAUAAUAGGACGUCAAGGAUCUUUGCGUACUGGGCGGUAAAUCGUCUUCCUCCACCUUGUUUUCCGCGCUGCAGUCGAUCCUCGCAUGCCUGAAACCUGUUUGACCUAGCAGGCCGACUCUGGGAGGACGACGACAGGCUGCUUCAACCUCCUUUGUCCAGGUUUCGUGCAGACGAGCGAUAAAAUAGCCCUGCGAGCCUCCUUCACUAACGUAUCCACUGCAAUUUUUUGUUGAAAAAAAUUAAAUUAUUUUUUGUUAGAAACAGUAUUUAAAUACUAUUCAAUUAUUUCUUUUUUUU